Molecule: non-coding RNA, 1079 nt
Organism: Rattus norvegicus (Norway rat)
Lineage: Eukaryota; Metazoa; Chordata; Mammalia; Rodentia; Muridae
Source: RefSeq, a predicted model, not a curated record
AGUGGUGAGACGCAGUGCUCUGAACAACACCAACAAGCCUCAUGCCCUCAAAGAAAUGGUUUCUCAUUUCUCCUGCCCAGAGCAAGGGGAAGCCGGGAGGGGUUUCGGCUCUUUCUGGGAGGCACCAUUUAAUGCGACCUGUCAAUCCAGAGAUGGGCUGCGAUUUUGUGAGCCGUACAGGAAAUUUCUGACUUAAGUCACUUCCAGGAGACGGGGCUGUGUGAUGAACACGGAACAAACGUCAACCCUUGUUACUGCUGACACCCACAAGCCCCCACCUCCCCUCGGUCCGGCUCCUGCCUAGUUUGCUUCCUUCUUUCUUUCCCCCCAAGUUCCCAUAGUUCCUUCUUUGAGUGGCACCGAGAACAGUUUCAGCCGCAUCCCUCCUUGAAAAUCAGUUAUUUUGAAACACGAGGAGCCAUAAGGAGAUCAACACCACCUUACCUGCUCUGUUUUGGUUGGCUCUGGGCCAGCGGUGAGGCAACAGAACCUUCUAGAAUGUGAUUUCUAUGAGAAGAAAGGCAUCACAAUGACUAUUGGUUCAAUGUUGCAUAUGGAGCAUUGUUGACGGAGCAGUCGAUCCAGAGGCAAGGUGGCCUAGAGGUCCGACUCUAGAAUGGGGUCAUCAGAAACGCAGGCUAUGCCUGGUAUCUCUUUGCAACGCCAUUCUUAAAGGACGCAGCCAUCCUUCUCUUCUGCCUACAUUCCUAGGUGACAGCUGGAGUUUCAACCGUUGGGUUUGUACUUUCUGCAGAAAAUACCAGGAAUUUUGAGACAGAAGAGCCGGCGCAUGCGUGCCUUGCGUUUUGCGGCCCAGUCUGGAUCUCUCAAAAGACACCUCCUUCCCGCUUUCAAAAUUACACCUUAUUGGCCACCCUUAGCAUAUGGGAGUUUGCAAGUCAAGUCUUUUGGCUGGGCAUCUUGCCACGUGGAUUAAAUUCGGGCUUCUAUUACUACGAAAGAAUAGGAUAAUGGAUAUUGGAUAAGCUACUUGAAGUAUUAACCGAAAUAAGCCAAUCAAGUCCUCAGUCCCAGUGGCAGGACUUCCAAUAUAAAUUCAUUAAAAUAACAUCCUCAUU